GUACUUUGGCCAUCGCUACGUUUUGAGUUCAGAUUCCACCAAGGUUGACAUUGCCUUUCAUCCUUUUGGGGGGGGGGUCAAUAAAUUAAGUACCAGUUACGUACUGGGGGUCGAUGUAACCGACUGUCCCUCUCCUUCAAAACUGCUACCCUUGUAGCAAAAUUUGAAACCAUUAUUAUUAUUAUUAUUAUUAUUAUUAUUAUUAUUAUCAUUAUUAUUAUUAUUGUCAGGGCAGUGGUUUGGCUGGAUCGUUAGAGUAUCAGAACAAGGAUGCGUUUCAGUGUUCGUUUUGUUUACCUAUUGCUCUGCGUCCGAAUCCAGCCGAGGUCAGCUUUGCCUCAUAUCCCCUUAUAAGGUCAAUAAAAUUUAUAAAACACACGGGAUACAUACUGGGACAGUGUGGCUAUGAUGGAUUUAAUUGAUUAACUAGCGCCUCCUUUCAGAAUUCCUGGCCCUUCAAUCUACGUUAGAAACAUUAUUAUCAUUGUUGUUGUUGUUGCUGUUGUUAUUGUUGUUGUUGUUGUUGUUGUUGUUACACCUACACCCCCGCCCCAAGUCAACUCUGGUCAAUCAGACGAGCAGACAAAAGCAAAAUCUUGGAUCAAAGACGUUCCAACCGUGACCAUCCCAUCGGUUUUCAUUUAAAAAAAGAAAAAAAUUCUGUUGUCUAUCAUGGACCACAUUGUUCUGUUUUACUGAUGUGUCCUUCUUUAUUUUAAAGCUGUAGCAUGUGAUGUGGCUAGUGUUUCUAGCUGGAUAAGCUUAACCUUGUAGGGUUACUUUAAUUUUUUUUUUUAUGUUUCUUGAG
This is a long non-coding RNA of Octopus sinensis (East Asian common octopus), 808 nucleotides long. RefSeq lists it as uncharacterized. The record is from RefSeq and is a predicted model, not a curated record. NCBI's taxonomy places the organism in Eukaryota, Metazoa, Mollusca, Cephalopoda, Octopoda, Octopodidae. The transcript has 3 exons.